This 253-nucleotide ribosomal RNA is filed under the name uncultured bacterium. RNAcentral's name for it is "partial 16S ribosomal RNA". It matches the Rfam family "Bacterial small subunit ribosomal RNA", at positions 524 to 776 of the family's 1533-position model. The record is from RNAcentral.
UACGUAGGGGGCGAGCGUUAUCCGGAUUCACUGGGUGUAAAGGGAGCGUAGACGGCCAAGCAAGCCAGGGGUGAAAGCCCGGGGCCCAACCCCGGGACUGCCCUUGGAACUGCAUGGCUGGAGUGCGGGAGGGGCAGGCGGAAUGUAUGGUGUAGCGGUGAAAUGCUUAGAGAUCAUACAGAACACCGAUUGCGAAGGCAGCUUACCAAGCUACUUCUGACGUUGAGGCACGAAAGCGUGGGGAGCAAACAGG